RNAcentral lists this transfer RNA (77 nucleotides) under Bacilli bacterium. RNAcentral describes it as "tRNA-Glu". It matches the Rfam family "tRNA". Rfam says of the family: Transfer RNA (tRNA) molecules are approximately 80 nucleotides in length. Their secondary structure includes four short double-helical elements and three loops (D, anti-codon, and T loops). Lineage: Bacteria; Bacillati; Bacillota; Bacilli. RNAcentral also lists the same sequence under 1 other name. The record is from RNAcentral.
GGCGAGUUGGUGAAGCGGCUUAACACACUGCCCUUUCACGGCAGCAUACACGGAUUCGAAUUCCGUACUCGUCACCA